GUGGGGAAUAUUGGGCAAUGGGCGAAAGCCUGACCCAGCAACGCCGCGUGAAGGAAGAAGGCUUUCGGGUUGUAAACUUCUUUUGUCAGGGACGAAAAAAAUGACGGUACCUGACGAAUAAGCCACGGCUAACUACGUGCCAGCAGCCGCGGUAAUACGUAGGUGGCAAGCGUUAUCCGGAUUUACUGGGUGUAAAGGGCGUGUAGGCGGGAAAGCAAGUCAGAUGUGAAAACUAUGGGCUCAACCCAUAGCCUGCAUUUGAAACUGUUUUUCUUGAGUACUGGAGAGGCAGAUGGAAUUCCUAGUGUAGCGGUGAAAUGCGUAGAUAUUAGGAGGAACACCAGUGGCGAAGGCGAUCUGCUGGACAGCAACUGACGCUGAGGCGCGAAAGCGUGGGGAGCAAACAGGAUUAGAUACCCGAGUAGUCC
Molecule: ribosomal RNA, 428 nt
Filed under: uncultured bacterium
Lineage: Bacteria
Description: partial 16S ribosomal RNA
Rfam family: Bacterial small subunit ribosomal RNA
Source: RNAcentral